Molecule: ribosomal RNA, 410 nt
Filed under: uncultured bacterium
Lineage: Bacteria
Description: bacterial SSU rRNA
Rfam family: Bacterial small subunit ribosomal RNA
Source: RNAcentral
GAUGAACGCUAGCGGCAGGCCUAAUACAUGCAAGUCGAGGGGCAGCGCGGUAGCAAUACUGGCGGCGACCGGCGCACGGGUGCGUAACACGUAUGCAACCUACCUUCAACUGGAGGAUAGCCCGGGGAAACUCGGAUUAAUACUCCAUAACACAGGGAUCCCGCAUGGGAAUAUUGUUAAAGCUACGGCGGUUGAAGAUGGGCAUGCGUUCGAUUAGCUAGUUGGUGUAGGUAACGGCUCACCAAGGCUACGAUCGAUAGGGGGUCUGAGAGGAUGAUCCCCCACACUGGUACUGAGAUACGGACCAGACUCCUACGGGAGCAGCAGUAGGGAAUAUUGGUCAAUGGGCGCAAGCCUGAACCAGCCAUGCGCGUGCAGGAAGAAGGCCCUCUGGGUUGUAAACUGCUUUU